CGAACGGGUGAGUAACACAUCGGAACGUGUCCAGUAGCGGGGGGAUAACCUCUCGAAAGAGAGGCUAAUACCGCAUACGACCUACGGGUGAAAGAGGGGGAUCGCAAGACCUCUCACUAUUGGAGCGGCCGAUGUCGGAUUAGCUAGUUGGCGGGGUAACGGCCCACCAAGGCUACGAUCCGUAGCUGGUCUGAGAGGACGACCAGCCACACUGGAACUGAGACACGGUCCAG
This 233-nucleotide ribosomal RNA is filed under the name uncultured bacterium. RNAcentral describes it as "partial 16S ribosomal RNA". It matches the Rfam family "Bacterial small subunit ribosomal RNA", at positions 99 to 334 of the family's 1533-position model. The record is from RNAcentral.